Molecule: long non-coding RNA, 1278 nt
Organism: Manis pentadactyla (Chinese pangolin)
Lineage: Eukaryota; Metazoa; Chordata; Mammalia; Pholidota; Manidae
Exons: 2
Source: RefSeq, a predicted model, not a curated record
UACCCCAUGUUCCCUGCCCAGCACUACUGAGGCCAGACUCAGGAGGAGCUGAGCUUGAGGCCACAGCUGGGGGACUGAUUGGAGCAGAGAGAGGGCCUAACUGGCACCAAGGCCGAUAGAAGGAGAGCAAAGGAAAUCAGGAAGAGCUGGGCCCUGGGGCAGGGACAGAACGGGACAUCAAGGGCAGGGACCCCAGGACUGAAAUGGCAGAUAGAGCCCGAAUGCCUUGUUUUAAAGAGAGAGAGUGGCUCUGAGGGAGCAUGCAACAAGUCUAGGGCAAGACUCAGGCUUCUGGCUCCCUGGGGUGGUUGGGCUGGGACUGUGGGCACUCCCCGUUUGUGUAACCUGCCUCUGGCUGCACUCCCCACAGAAAAUCACCGUGCUGAUUGGGAAGCCCUUCAGUGCCCUGCCCACGCAUGAGCAGCUCCGGGCAGAGAACAAGGCAGCUGUGGAGAUGCGCAAAGUCCUGGCUGAAUUCACUCAGGAGGAAUCCCAGCGCCUGAAGACCCAGGCUGAGCAGCUCCACAGCCACCUGCAGCCUCGGAGAUAGGCACCACCCUGCCCAGACCCUGUCCUUGCUUCCUUUCAGGAGAGGGCAGCCAGCCCCUGAGGCCCGGGAAAGAGGCUGUCCUGGGACCCAAGCCCCAACUGCUGGGCUCUCAGCACCAUCCUUGGGUUCUUGCCUGGCACAGAGAUGGGGCUGGGGGAUGGACUCGUGCUUUGAGCUCAGCUCUGGUUUUGUAGACAGAUUUGUUCAUAACCCUUAACGGAUACCCUCCCCUAGAUGGUGAGCAUUCCAGCUCCUCUCGUUCUUCACGUGAAGGAAGGCUCUCAGCUACUCCUCCCACUUGGCCAUGAAAGGAGGAAGAAAUUUAGGCUGGAGCCUCCUUCCUGCUUGCUUCCAGGCUUUCCCUCCAGGGCUGGGGUCAGGAGGCAGAGUAGUUGAAGGAGGUGGGGUGGCCAGGACAGACCUUCAGGGAGGGGCCCAUGAAGGGGUGGGCCCAGGCCUCCGACCACCCACCCUGAUCAGGGAUGGCCACUAGCCACGUCUUCCUUCUGCCCAUGCUUCCCACAGGUGUGGGACUCUUGGGCAGGGCCCAGCCUCAGGCUGCAGGCAGAAGAGCAGCCAUUUGCCAGAAGUGGAGCCCAGUCAAACAGCCUGUAGCCAGGGCUCACUGACUUCUCUUGUCCUUCCCACCCCCUAGCAUCACUCAAGUACCAUGGAGCCUAGGUUUUCAUGUUUUGUAAACAAUAAAGUAUCUGUGUUGUACUGUUUUA